This 232-nucleotide ribosomal RNA is filed under the name uncultured bacterium. RNAcentral describes it as "partial 16S ribosomal RNA". It matches the Rfam family "Bacterial small subunit ribosomal RNA", at positions 104 to 334 of the family's 1533-position model. The record is from RNAcentral.
CGGGGUGAGUAACGCGUGGACAACCUGCCUCACACUGGGGGAUAACAGUUAGAAAUGACUGCUAAUACCGCAUAAGCGCACAGUACCGCAUGGUACAGUGUGAAAAACUCCGGUGGUGUGAGAUGGAUCCGCGUCUGAUUAGCCAGUUGGCGGGGUAACGGCCCACCAAAGCGACGAUCAGUAGCCGACCUGAGAGGGUGACCGGCCACAUUGGGACUGAGACACGGCCCAA